CUUAGUGGCGGACGGGUGAGUAACGCGUGGGGAACCUGCCCUGUACAGGGGGAUAACACUUAGAAAUAGGUGCUAAUACCGCAUAAGCGCACAGUAUCGCAUGAUACAGUGUGAAAAACUCCGGUGGUACAGGAUGGACCCGCGUCUGAUUAGCUGGUUGGCGGGGUAACGGCCCACCAAGGCGACGAUCAGUAGCCGGCCUGAGAGGGUGAACGGCCACAUCGGGACUGAGACACGGCCCAAACUCCUACGGAAGGCAGCAG
Molecule: ribosomal RNA, 263 nt
Filed under: uncultured bacterium
Lineage: Bacteria
Description: partial 16S ribosomal RNA
Rfam family: Bacterial small subunit ribosomal RNA
Source: RNAcentral